UCGCUUCACCUGGACUCUUAGCCAAUCACAAGUUGACUCAGGAUCGCUGCACGCUGGUUGCAUUCUGUCCGAGACUUUUGCCAGUAGUGCACGCUAACUGCACGGACUUAAAACCCGUUUUGAUACAACUGCUUUAUCCUGUGUGGGUCUUUACAAUGGGAGAUUCAAGCAACAUAUCCUCUGAUGCAGAUGUCACAAACACCGUUGCUGAUGCAGGAGUGUCUGAAGAUCCAGGCAUACAUGAUGGACAACAGAAUGAUGCUGACAGAAUUGCAUAGAGCUGAACAGAGCCAAGUGGCUCAAGAGGCUGCCUGUUUCGAAUGAAUAUUGAAGGCACCACAGGAGGCUGAGGUCUGGUGUCCUGGGGAGAAGGCUGCGGGCAAAAAUACAAACUUGCCAUCUACACCAAAGUGUCCAGCUAUUUGGACUGGAUAGAUAAUGUUCGUCAGAGGUAGGAUAAAGUUUAGACCCCUACCUUUCUAUCCUGUUUGCCUCACAUAAAAUAUAAAUCAGAAAAAAAC
Long non-coding RNA from Carassius gibelio (silver crucian carp), 521 nucleotides. RefSeq lists it as uncharacterized. The transcript is spliced from 3 exons. Lineage: Eukaryota; Metazoa; Chordata; Actinopteri; Cypriniformes; Cyprinidae. The record is from RefSeq and is a predicted model, not a curated record.